ACUCCUACGGGAGGCAGCACGUGGGGAAUAUUGNACAAUGGGCAGCAAGCCUGAUCCAGCCAUGCCGCGUGUGUGAAGAAGGCUUUCGGGUUGUAAAGCACUUUCAUCAGUGAGGAAAGGUUAGUAGUUAAUACCUGCUAGUCUGUGACGUUANCUGAAGAAGAAGCACCGGCUAACACC
Molecule: ribosomal RNA, 180 nt
Filed under: uncultured Gammaproteobacteria bacterium
Lineage: Bacteria; Pseudomonadati; Pseudomonadota; Gammaproteobacteria
Description: partial 16S ribosomal RNA
Rfam family: Bacterial small subunit ribosomal RNA
Source: RNAcentral